UUGGACGUCUGAUGGACUCCAGUUAAGUGUUUUGGGGUAGAAAGCGUUGCAGGAACUUCUGAGUGCCUCAUGUCAGACAGCAUGCAACAUCUGGUGGAUCCACGUCAGGCCUUUGCCAGGGGAACAAAUCUACAAUGAAACACAGAUUUUGUAUGUAUAUUUGCUGAUUUCUUGACUAAUGCAUACACUUGUAUAACCGAAACCUGUCUCAAGAUAUAGAACAUUCUCGUCACCCAUAAAGUUCCUGUGUGCCCCUUCGCAGUCAGUCCCAGCCCACCCAGAGGCAUCCAACACAUCAAUUGAAUUUCUUGCUCAUCCUUCAGUGAAGACUAUCAAAGAUACGUGGAUAGGAGGUGAUCUUUGAGAAGAAGCAGAAUGAUAUGUUUUCAUCUUGUUAUUCCUGAUUCCCAUUCUCUGGGUUUCUGGUCCCAAGUCAGCAGGGAGUCCUCUACACCUGGAACUGCCCAUUUCUGGAGAGGGGAGGAAACGUCAGGCUUGCUUGUGAAGAGCAUCUCAUCCUGAGUCCAACAGGAGGAAACCAAUCUCUCAGCACUCUCCUCCAAGCCAAGGACAAAUGACGUUCCCAACACACGUGCAUGAAGCCAGGGGGAUUAAUUGUGUAGCGCUGAAGGAAAAUUACAACUUUCCUAAGAAGCUUAAAAUACACAAAUUAAAUCUCGUCUGUGAUUAAAUCCUGGCUACUUCUCAUCCUGGUUUAUGUCUGUGGUUCUUGGGAAAUUAAAAAGUGUUUGCCCAACCACUGACUAUCGAUCAAGUUUUAAAGACUAAGAGGCACGGAGAGCUCUCGGAAAGAAGAACGUGACGUAAGACUGUGGGGUUCACCGAAGAAAGCCAACGUGACACGGUGGUGCUGAAGAGUGGGGAGGUGUUUGUGAAUAAAAGGAGGCCACCCAUCUCUGUAGGCUGAACUGAGCUGAGCUGACAUUGUCACUAAUAAAAUGCUGAGGAAACAUUUUAAUGCAAUAGGCUAUGUUCACUGGGGCUAAAAAUAAAUGCUUUCUGGUAUUCUGUAGUAACACCGAAAAUGACUUCACAGGUGUGAAACGUGGAGAAGAAUUUAGUUGCAUGUCUUGGUUUUUUCAGCCAUAAGCAAAAAGCCUCCCCUUGUGUGGUGUCCUCUCUCGUCAGUGAUGUAACACCCAUACAACGUUGAACAGAACACACGACUGAUCACAUGUUGUUUCAUCAUAAAUGGCCACGUGUUCUGAGAUCAGUGUCUGGG
This 1243-nucleotide long non-coding RNA is filed under the name Equus asinus (donkey). Its description in RNAcentral is "lncRNA (ENSEASG00005036045.1)". Lineage: Eukaryota; Metazoa; Chordata; Mammalia; Perissodactyla; Equidae. The record is from RNAcentral.